GUCCUAGCCGUAAACUCUGAGAACUUGAUUGAAGGGUCCUCCAUAGCCUUUCAGUCGUAGCGAAAGUGUUAAGUUCUCCGCCUGGGGAGUAUGGUCGCAAGGCUGAAACUCAAAGAAAUUGACGGGGGCUCACACAAGCGGUGGAGGAUGUGGCUUAAUUCGAGGCUACGCGAAGAACCUUAUCCUAGUCUUGACAUGCAUUUCUAAGUCGGUGAAAGCCGGCGACCGUAGCAAUACGGAACUUGCACAGGUGCUGCAUGGCUGUCGU
This 268-nucleotide ribosomal RNA is filed under the name uncultured bacterium. RNAcentral's name for it is "partial 16S ribosomal RNA". It matches the Rfam family "Bacterial small subunit ribosomal RNA", at positions 793 to 1055 of the family's 1533-position model. The record is from RNAcentral.